ACAAAGGCUCUUUUAAGAGCCACCCACCUCCUCCUCUCAGAGCUC
Molecule: non-coding RNA, 45 nt
Organism: Larimichthys crocea (large yellow croaker)
Lineage: Eukaryota; Metazoa; Chordata; Actinopteri; Sciaenidae
Source: Rfam